RNAcentral lists this ribosomal RNA (838 nucleotides) under Microsporidium sp. HEM-2006WLa. RNAcentral's name for it is "bacterial SSU rRNA". It matches the Rfam family "Microsporidia small subunit ribosomal RNA", at positions 25 to 876 of the family's 1311-position model. The record is from RNAcentral. Lineage: Eukaryota; Fungi; Microsporidia.
CAAUACUACUGCGGUACCACUUGACAUGCGUGUUUGUGAAGUAAUGGAGGACGAACGGCUCAGUAAGACUGCGAUGAUUUAGUCUAGACGGAAGGGUAACUAUUGGAAACGAUAGCUAAGAGAGUGUAGAAUAAGUUGCAGACCUAUCAGUUAGUUGGUAGUGUAAAGGACUACCAAGACGAUGACGGGAGACGGGAAAUAAGGGUUUUAUUCCGGAGAGGGAGCCUGAGAGAUGGCUCCCACGUCUAAGGACGGCAGCAGGCGCGGAAAUUGCCCACUCAUUGUUGUGGAGGCAGUUAUGAGACGUGAAGACAUCGACAGACUUCAAAAGAGUGUGUCAAAGGAAUUGGAGGGCAAGUUUGGUGCCAGCAGCCGCGGUAAUACCGACUCCAAGAGUGUAUGUGAGAGAUGCUGCAGUUAAAAAGUCCGUAGUCGUGUGGAUCUAAUGAAAUGGUAGCUACAAAGGAUAUCAGAAUUAGGUUUAGUUGUGGAGCAGAUAGGGAAGAUAGUAUAUUUAGGCGAGAGAUGAAAUGUCAAGACCCUAAGUGGACUGAGUGAGGCGAAGGCGAUCUUCUUAGAUGUAUUCGUAGAUAAAGGACGAAGGUUGGAGGAUCGAAAGUGAUUAGAUACCGCAGUAGUUCCAACAGUAAACGAUGCCGUCACGGAGUAUUGAAUUGAUGCGCCGAGGAGAAAUCAUAGAGUACGGGCUCUGGGGAUAGUAUGCUCGCAAGAGUGAAAAUUAAAGAAAUUGACGGAGCUACACCACAAGGAGUGGAUUGUGCGGCUUAAUUUGACUCAACGCGGGACAGCGUACCAGAGGAUCAAUUCUGUCAGGCAG